ACCAGGAUAGCUGAGUGGUUGAGGCGUUGGACUUAAUAUCCAAUGGAUACAUAUCUGCGUGGGUUUAAUCCCCACUUCUGGUA
Molecule: non-coding RNA, 83 nt
Organism: Pseudophryne corroboree (corroboree frog)
Lineage: Eukaryota; Metazoa; Chordata; Amphibia; Anura; Myobatrachidae
Source: the annotation of a RefSeq genome assembly